GUUAGAGCCUGACUUACCUACUGAUCUUUGUGCUGGCAUUAAAGAAGAUGGGAGGACUACUGUGACUGGUAGGCCAACCAGAAUCAGGUAAUUGUUGGAGAAAGAUGGCUUGGAAAUCUAUCAAUUCCCUGGUAAUCUGCAGGCCACUGUAGCAUAGAGUGUCUUCUUGGGAAUAACGAAAUGGCACCUGCUCCAAAUGGAGAAGGAGCAAAUGUCAAAAUACUUCAGGAGUGGUCUUGCGCCAGAAUUCCUUUGUGGCUCCAUGAUGUAGAGGUAUCUGGAGGCAUUGGCUUACUUUUCUAUUCAUUUCACUUUUGUUUUAGAAGACAUUCUUGA
Molecule: long non-coding RNA, 336 nt
Filed under: Macaca mulatta (Rhesus monkey)
Lineage: Eukaryota; Metazoa; Chordata; Mammalia; Primates; Cercopithecidae
Description: lncRNA (ENSMMUG00000050002.1)
Source: RNAcentral